RNAcentral lists this ribosomal RNA (498 nucleotides) under uncultured bacterium. Its description in RNAcentral is "partial 16S ribosomal RNA". It matches the Rfam family "Bacterial small subunit ribosomal RNA", at positions 30 to 523 of the family's 1533-position model. The record is from RNAcentral.
AUUGAACGCUGGCGGCAUGCCUUACACAUGCAAGUCGAACGGUAACAGGUCUUCGGAUGCUGACGAGUGGCGAACGGGUGAGUAAUACAUCGGAACGUGCCCGAUCGUGGGGGAUAACGGAGCGAAAGCUUUGCUAAUACCGCAUACGAUCUACGGAUGAAAGCAGGGGACCGCAAGGCCUUGCGCGGACGGAGCGGCCGAGGGCAGAUUAGGUAGUUGGUGGGAUAAAAGCUUACCAAGCCGACGAUCUGUAGCUGGUCUGAGAGGACGACCAGCCACACUGGGACUGAGACACGGCCCAGACUCCUACGGGAGGCAGCAGUGGGGAAUUUUGGACAAUGGGCGCAAGCCUGAUCCAGCCAUGCCGCGUGCAGGAUGAAGGCCUUCGGGUUGUAAACUGCUUUUGUACGGAACGAAAAGACUCUGGUUAAUACCUGGGGUCCAUGACGGUACCGUAAGAAUAAGCACCGGCUAACUACGUGCCAGCAGCCGCAGUAA